AGAGGGGUCAUUGCUUAGUGGCAGAACAUCUGUAUGGUAUUCAGAAGGUCCCUGGUUCAGUUCCAGGCAUCUCUA
This 75-nucleotide transfer RNA is filed under the name Sphaerodactylus townsendi. Its description in RNAcentral is "tRNA-Thr". Lineage: Eukaryota; Metazoa; Chordata; Lepidosauria; Squamata; Sphaerodactylidae. The record is from RNAcentral.